GUGACGUCGGCAAGGGGAGACGUUCUUGGACAAAUUGAGUUCAGAGUGAGUGGCUGUGGUGAGUGGCACGGAGACCAGAGUCGUUGACUGAAGACUAUAAAGGCAGUUACCCUUAUGGGCUUUGGUGUGAAAACCGAAAUUCGUCGCGCGCUGGCGCUCUCUGCGGUAUUCCAGCAGCAGAGUUGGGAACUUAUUGCAGAGCAUCAGAGGGUUACCGAUCACGUGGUGUUGGUUGCAAUAACCUCCGAGCAACACAAUCUUCGUAAGAAAGUGACACCCAAAAUUUUUUUUCUCUUGACGUCAUCGAUCUGUAUACACGGAAAUCAGCUAACCGAAUUCCUCAGUCCGGAAACAACCGCGCAGUAGAGCGGACGGAUGAGAAUCGCGCUCCGCAGAUUUCGAGUACCAGGUUCUCUACUUCCCGGAUUCUGCGCUCCGGGUCCGCUUUCUGGUGCAACUCGACUUCCAGGACAAGCGCUACGUGGUUCCUGCGCUCAAGGUCCAAUACCUGGUGAAUUUUUACAUGAACCAACAACAAAAAGGAGAGAUAUCGAUUCGAAGAUGCCUUGUACGAGAUCUUCUUACCGACUGGCGGAAACGGCUCCUGUGAAGUCAUUCCUACUACUUUGGUUGAAAUUCAACCUCAACAAACACAGGAUCAAUCAACUCAGGUUUUGAGUUUAAUUCAAGAAAUUCUUCAAACUCAGCAUGAGGAACGUCUUGAACGAGAGGAAUAGAUCUCCUUCCCCUGUUGUUUUGAGAGAUUUUCCAAUAAAUCAGGAUCAGGUAACAGAUAUUACCCCAAGGUCAGUGCCAUUUUGCCCCUCUUUUAAUGGAGCUUCAGUAGAAAACAGAGUGUGUGAGAACAGAAAUCUGCAGAGAUUUGAACUCCCAGAAUCCUCACACGCUCUAAAUUAUCAUCAUCAGAUGAACGCUAGAUCAUGCCAAAAUUUGGUAGAUAACGUUAAUAGAGACAGCAUUUUUCAUUCUGUCUCUAAUAACAAACUUAAACCUGUAACUUUUGACGGUUCGACUUCCUGGACGGAUUAUGAACGUCUGUUCCAAAUCAUUGCUCGAAUAAAUAAUUAGGAGCCUGCCAUUAAAGCUGCUAAUUUAAUCAAUUCUCUAAGAGGUCUAGCUUUGACUAUUUUGUCUUCUCUAUCGAAUUCCGAUAGACUUAGAUUCGGAGAUGAAAAUUUAUCUAAAUUGUAUUGUUAUAAAGGGUGAAAUCAUCAAUCACCCGUGUUAUCAUGAUCUAGUAGUCAUUUUAAACUGUAAGCUUUCAUGUGUCACGAAACGAAUAGGGUUGCUGCAUCAAUAAAUAUUGUUACAAAGGGUGAAAUCACCCGUUUUGU
This is a long non-coding RNA of Neodiprion virginianus, 1355 nucleotides long. RefSeq lists it as uncharacterized. Lineage: Eukaryota; Metazoa; Arthropoda; Insecta; Hymenoptera; Diprionidae. The transcript has 4 exons. The record is from RefSeq and is a predicted model, not a curated record.